GGAGGACUCGCCUAGUGGCCUAGGGCGCACGCUUGGAAAGCGUGUUGGGGAAACCCUCACGAGUUCGAAUCUCGUGUCCUCCG
Molecule: transfer RNA, 83 nt
Filed under: Nocardiopsaceae bacterium
Lineage: Bacteria; Bacillati; Actinomycetota; Actinomycetes; Streptosporangiales; Nocardiopsidaceae
Description: tRNA-Ser
Rfam family: tRNA
About the family: Transfer RNA (tRNA) molecules are approximately 80 nucleotides in length. Their secondary structure includes four short double-helical elements and three loops (D, anti-codon, and T loops).
Source: RNAcentral